This 1420-nucleotide ribosomal RNA is filed under the name Lactiplantibacillus pentosus. RNAcentral describes it as "bacterial SSU rRNA". It matches the Rfam family "Bacterial small subunit ribosomal RNA". The record is from RNAcentral. Lineage: Bacteria; Bacillati; Bacillota; Bacilli; Lactobacillales; Lactobacillaceae.
ACAUGCAAGUCGAACGAACUCUGGUAUUGAUUGGUGCUUGCAUCAUGAUUUACAUUUGAGUGAGUGGCGAACUGGUNGAGUAACACGUGGGAAACCUGCCCAGAAGCGGGGGAUAACACCUGGAAACAGAUGCUAAUACCGCAUAACAACUUGGACCGCAUGGUCCGAGUUUGAAAGAUGGCUUCGGCUAUCACUUUUGGAUGGUCCCGCGGCGUAUUAGCUAGAUGGUGGGGUAACGGGCUCACCAUGGCAAUGAUACGUAGCCGACCUGAGAGGGUAAUCGGCCACAUUGGGACUGAGACACGGCCCAAACUCCUACGGGAGGCAGCAGUAGGGAAUCUUCCACAAUGGACGAAAGUCUGAUGGAGCAACGCCGCGUGAGUGAAGAAGGGUUUCGGCUCGUAAAACUCUGUUGUUAAAGAAGAACAUAUCUGAGAGUAACUGUUCAGGUAUUGACGGUAUUUAACCAGAAAGCCACGGCUAACUACGUGCCAGCAGCCGCGGUAAUACGUAGGUGGCAAGCGUUGUCCGGAUUUAUUGGGCGUAAAGCGAGCGCAGGCGGUUUUUUAAGUCUGAUGUGAAAGCCUUCGGCUCAACCGAAGAAGUGCAUCGGAAACUGGGAAACUUGAGUGCAGAARAGGACAGUGGAACUCCAUGUGUAGCGGUGAAAUGCGUAGAUAUAUGGAAGAACACCAGUGGCGAAGGCGGCUGUCUGGUCUGUAACUGACGCUGAGGCUCGAAAGUAUGGGUAGCAAACAGGAUUAGAUACCCUGGUAGUCCAUACCGUAAACGAUGAAUGCUAAGUGUUNGGAGGGUUUCCGCCCUUCAGUGCUGCAGCUAACGCAUUAAGCAUUCCGCGUGGGGAGUACGGCCGCAAGGCUGAAACUCAAAGGAAUUGACGGGGGCCCGCACAAGCGGUGGAGCAUGUGGUUUAAUUCGAAGCUACGCGAAGAACCUUACCAGGUCUUGACAUACUAUGCAAAUCUAAGAGAUUAGACGUUCCCUUCGGGGACAUGGAUACAGGUGGUGCAUGGUUGUCGUCAGCUCGUGUCGUGAGAUGUUGGGUUAAGUCCCGCAACGAGCGCAACCCUUAUUAUCAGUUGCCAGCAUUAAGUUGGGCACUCUGGUGAGACUGCCGGUGACAAACCGGAGGAAGGUGGGGAUGACGUCAAAUCAUCAUGCCCCUUAUGACCUGGGCUACACACGUGCUACAAUGGAUGGUACAACGAGUUGCGAACUCGCGAGAGUAAGCUAAUCUCUUAAAGCCAUUCUCAGUUCGGAUUGUAGGCUGCAACUCGCCUACAUGAAGUCGGAAUCGCUAGUAAUCGCGGAUCAGCAUGCCGCGGUGAAUACGUUCCCGGGNCCUUGUACACACCGCCCGUCACACCAUGAGAGUUUGUAACACCCAAAGUCGGUGGGG